This 322-nucleotide unclassified non-coding RNA is filed under the name Hevea brasiliensis (rubber tree). Lineage: Eukaryota; Viridiplantae; Streptophyta; Magnoliopsida; Malpighiales; Euphorbiaceae. The record is from RNAcentral.
AAAAAAAUGAAAAAGAAAAAAAUUGCACACCCAUGAAUCCUGUAUGUAAGAGCAUACAAAUUAACUUGUGUAUAAAAUCUUAUCAGAUGCCAAAACAUAAUCGCUCAUCUACAGCAUAUCAUUUCCUAGACAAUGUGAUUCUUGGACCACUUUUAGUCCUAAACAACAGAAGUAAUUUUGAUGUAUUUAAUUUAACCUGAUGGAUCCAUUCAUAUUUGGAUUUGAUGAAAAUGUAAUAAUAUACAUUUUGCUUUUAACAACUCAUUAGGUUUUUUGCUGAUCCAUUUCUGUCCUUUGUCCUGCAGGCCAAGCAACUUGCACA